This 402-nucleotide ribosomal RNA is filed under the name Zonitis immaculata. Its description in RNAcentral is "partial large subunit ribosomal RNA". The record is from RNAcentral. Lineage: Eukaryota; Metazoa; Arthropoda; Insecta; Coleoptera; Meloidae.
UAGUUUUUUAAUUGAAAGCUGGAAUGAAUGGCUGAAUAAGGAAAUAACUGUCUCUUUUUAAUUAAGUUGAACUUUAUUUUUAAGUUAAAAAGCUUAAAUUUAAUAGAAAGACGAGAAGACCCUAUAGAGUUUAAUAAAUUAAUAUUUUUAUAGUUUAGGGUUUUAUUAUAUAGAAAUAUUUAUUUAUUUUGUUGGGGUGACAAUAGAAUUUAAUUAACUUCUGGUUUUUAAUCAUUGAUUUAUGAAUAUAUGAUCCUAAUAUUUAGAUUAUAAGAAUAAAUUACCUUAGGGAUAACAGCGUAAUUUUUUUGGAGAGUUCUUAUCGAUAAAAGAGAUUGCGACCUCGAUGUUGGAUUAAAGUUUAAUUUUGGUGUAGAAGCUAAAAUAUUAAGACUGUUCGAC